UACGGAGGGUGCAAGCGUUAUCCGGAUUUAUUGGGGUUAAAGGGUGCGCAGGCGGUGCUUUAAGUCAGUGGUGAAAUCUCUUCGCUUAACGAAGAAACUGCCAUUGAUACUGAAGUUCUUGAAUCUAGUUGACGUUAGUGGAAUGUGUCAUGUAGCGGUGAAAUGCUUAGAUAUGACACAGAACACCGAUCGCGAAGGCAGCUAACGAAGCUAGUAUUGACGCUCAGGCACGACAGCAUGGGGAGCAAACAGG
Molecule: ribosomal RNA, 253 nt
Filed under: uncultured bacterium
Lineage: Bacteria
Description: partial 16S ribosomal RNA
Rfam family: Bacterial small subunit ribosomal RNA
Source: RNAcentral